This 73-nucleotide transfer RNA is filed under the name Phoca fasciata (ribbon seal). RNAcentral describes it as "transfer RNA-Gln". It matches the Rfam family "tRNA". Rfam says of the family: Transfer RNA (tRNA) molecules are approximately 80 nucleotides in length. Their secondary structure includes four short double-helical elements and three loops (D, anti-codon, and T loops). The record is from RNAcentral. Lineage: Eukaryota; Metazoa; Chordata; Mammalia; Carnivora; Phocidae.
UAGAACAUGGUGUAUCUGGGUAGCACGGAGAUUUUUGAAUUCUUAGGAUUAGGUUCGACUCCUAUUGUUCUAG